CCUGUGUUACAGAGGAUGACCUUGAACUUCUGCCCCGAGCUGACAUCACAGGGCAGUCCCACCACACCUGGUUCACACUGUGCUGAGAGUCAAAUUCAGGAUUUGGCUCAUGCUAAGCAAACACUCUUCCAAACUGAGUCACAUCUCCAGCCUGUUUUCUGCUUCUUGACAUCUUUGUUGAAGCAUAACUCACAUGUCACACAAUUCACCUAUUGAAGGUGUACAACUUAAUGUGGUUUUAUUAUUUUUAUAUCCACAGAACUGGACAGCCAUGCCUAUCAAUUUAAAAAACACUUUUUCGUUGCCUCAAAAUGAAACCCAAUAUCUUCAAGCUAUCGCCCUCCAUGCCCAGCCUCUCCAACUGUAGGAAACCGCUAAUUUGCUUUCCAUCUCAACGGAUGACUUGCCCAUUCUGGGCAUUUCAUAUAAAUGGAAUCAUACGGUAUGUGGUCUUCAGUGACUCACUUAUUUCUCUCAGUGUAAUGUUUCCAAGUUUCAGCCGAGCUGUAACAAUUGCCAGUAUGCCAUUCCUUUCCAUUUCUAAAUAAUAUUCUCCUGGACAGUUCCACGUUUAACUCAUUAAGCAAGAGUUGGAAACCUACAUCUCUCACAUGGACUACCACCCACCCUUGUCCUGUUGAUAAUCUUGGGGAUUACCAUACAACACAGCUGUACCACUUGAGGUCAAUAAGAACUUCUCCUUGCUUGUGUUAUUCAAAUGUGUAACCUCGUGGGUAAGGCUCUGCAGUUCAUGUCCACCGAUGAUCCAAGUAGAUAGAGCAGGAGUGAGGGCCUGCCACAGUUCAAGCCGAGAGCCUCACGGACAGCGGAUCCCAGCUGGUGGCUCCCAGAUUCCUAACCUACAGGAUUAUGUGAUUGGGGAGCACUGGGUUUAGUGUUCAGUGCUAGGUUUGGGGUAAUUCAUUACACAACAAUGACACACACACACACACACAAAAUUCAACAUAAGAUGAAUGUCACUGAACCCCCAAAAAUAUUUUAAACCAAAGAAAGUAAAGCCUGAGCUAAUAUCAACAAAAGUCAACCUUCCUUUCCCCCAAUACAUGUGAGAUACCCAGACUGUGUAAGUAGUGGCACAGAAGAGAGAGACACGGAGAUAGAGCUGGUGCCUGUGGCUGAACUCAAGGGAUCCUUCCUCCUAGGGGAUCACAUAGGAAGGUUUCCUAGCCGGUUGGCACUGAAACACAGCAGGACUCAUACUGCUUCUUGACCUCAGUCUCUGGUAUUCUUUUCUGGGUGAGGUGGUGAGGGUUCCAGGUUCCUUCUAUGCCUGGGCUAUGGCUCUGAGACUAGCAAACUGGCCCUUCUUCUAGCCCCCUAAACCAACAGAACACUGAGUGAGCAAGUGUGGGCCGUGGGCCAGAAAUGAACGUGGAUGAAGUUGUGAGAUGGUGGAAAAGCUCUUCUCACUGAUCUCUUCCCAACACCUGGGCCGAGGGUCACAGUGACACCGGCACACACACCCUAAAAAGCCCUCACAGAGAUAUUGGAAAGAGAAACUAGAGAUGGGGGCCUGUGAUGAUUCUGUCUCGGGAAAAACCGUAAGAGAUGAUCUCACUCAACUUACUCCUCCAUGUUCCCACAAUCCCACACCCUGGCAUCAGAUCCCCUCCGUGCUAAGCUGGGUCCUCUUCAACUUCUCUUUCUUGUGUCCAUACAUGUCUCACCAACACAUCAAGUGCCCUUCACCACUUCCCCUUCUUCAGCAGAUGGCAAAUCCUGGAAAACCACUUUGGAAGCAGCUCACACAUUUUCCAAGAAAAGACAAACAAAAUAGGGGGUGGGGUGGGGAACAGCCAUGUGUCUCGCAUGUUAGCUAAUGACAAUCACAGCGCAGCAUCGAGCAGCAGCCGAAAUGCUGGGCUCAGCCAGAAAGAGACAACAGAACCCACAUGUUCCUCCUUUACCCUUACUCUUUCUCAGUUUGGCCCUCAAAGCUAGCACAUCCAUGCUUCAAAGUAGAACACACUAGAACGCAUGCUGCCGAUCAGAGGGACAUCAGCUGAGAUUUUCACCAGGCCUGGGAGGGACCAAAAUUCCCUCAUAUGAACCUCAGGGCCAUUUUCUAGCCCUGCCAGGAGCAGAGGAACUAAGCGGGUCCUGAAAUAUGUAAAACGUACAGUCAGCAGAAGCUAGUGAUCAGGAAGUGAGGCUCAUGGUGGACAGAGGGCAUGAAGUAUAAGGCUUGUACCCCUAUUUCUCAUCUAACCUAGAUUUCUAGAGAAUAGCCUUCGGUGUCAUGCUGGGCUCCCGUCCCACUAACGUGAUGUCUCCCUGUGAGUUUCAUGUAUAAACAAGGGUGGGGCUCCCUCCUUGUUGAUUUGUCACAGGCCUCAAUGACAUUUUCUAUCUAAAGUCCCUGCCAGAGCCAAAGGCUCAUAACAGCCUCCCAAAGUGUACCGCUAUUAUUGGCUAUUGUUGUCUGGUCUUUGUGAGCCUAGCGUAGUGGAGAAAAUUAUAAUCAUCAUCCAUGAUGGGGUGGUAUUUGCCAUUUCCCAUCCUGUCACAUGUGUUCAGCCAUCUAAAGUCGACUUUAUUACUAGCAUUGAUGCCCCUUUUGAAAGAGAAAUGGGAAAAAAAAGACGUGCAGACAAGGAAUGUGCGAGGGAAAGAACGGGAGAGAAAUUUCUGACUUAUAUCUGCUUGGAAGUGGGCAGGUUUUGUGCGGUCUUUUCUUGGGGGGAUCGACAGGCAUCUGUUUACCCCAGGUAGAACACUAAUGCCAUGCAGAGAAUGACAACAAUAGCAAUGCCAUUCAAGUCUAGCUUGGUGAAACAAUGAGUUCAUUAAGAUUUCUCACCAACGAGUGGGUGAGUAGACGCUUACCAAAGAGUGCACAGGGAACACUGUUAAAGGAAGAAACUCUUGGAGACUCUAGCAACUCUUAAGGAUCUAUAAAUCCCUGUGUGGGGAGGGACCUUGUGAGACCGGGGUCCCCUCUGUGACGGAGAGUUAAUGAGUUCAGUCGUGUGCAGCAGAUCUCCUUUGGGUGACUACAGCUGCUGAUGGUUCGAGAGGGCAGUGCCCACGCUGUGCCUGGAGGAUAGCCUUCUGUAGCAUCAGAGAAAAGAAAUCACACCCCCAAAGAAUGCAGGCCAGGCAUGCCUGCAUCUUCCUUCAAAUUCUAGGAAAAGGAAGCAAAACACCCAGAGAUGGGGGACUGUGGCAGAGUGAGGGCACCAGGGUCACAAACCAGCCCCUGGCACGUUUGUUUUUCUGAACCCCAAUUUUCUUAGCUGCAGAAAGGGUUAGUAUGGACACUGUUGUGGUGUGGUACACUGAAGGUAGAGCUGGUAAAGGUAAGACACAUCCGUGCCUACUGUUAUUGUGAAGAACUAUCUAGACAGCUUUUCCUCCACCUUCAUUACCAUCUUAAAAAAUCCCAAACCACAGGCUUCUCAUUUCCUACGCUUUCUACAGUAGUUCACGCUUCUCCCUUAAGAGCUGUUAUCUAGCUCCCCACCCCACCUCUUAGGUCAUGUGCUCCAGCUCAAGAUCAGGACUAUACCUUAUACAGGGUUUUCCAAGAACUAGCAUCCAGUAAGCAUUCAAAAACACACAGUAGGCAUUUGAUAUAUGCUUAAUGCAGAAGGAGAUUUGACGUCUCUGAUUUCUUCACCCUAACAGCAGUCCAGACAGAGAAAAAAAAAGAACACCAAGAGAAAUGUGAGCAGUCUGCUUUGUGCCUUCGCUACACCGCCAGGGUCAUCUGGAUUUAGAAUAAGAAUAAUGCAAAACAAACUUUGAAACUAGCAUUUAGAAGAAUGCCUUGCAUUUUUAGAGGCCAGAGGAAAACGCAUCAUAGUCAUUUGGGGCUAGGAGCAGAUGGUGGUGUUUCAACAUGUGGAAAUAACCACGGGCAAGGACUUGGACAGCUACCAUGGAAUCAAUCCACAGGCCAGGGGGCAGAAUCCAGAUGCUGAGCUGGCCACAUAGCCUUGCCUUGCUAAGACCCUGUCAUCACAAUACCAGCCUGGCAUGGCCACCUGGGGCUUAGCCGGCCAACCAGAGGAUUGUCUAAAGAAGAGGUAGAAUAUAAACUUGAACAAUUCUAGGUCUGUGGAAAAGAAGCUUUUUUUCCCUCUCCAUGGUUUACCUGGCUAGCAGCUGAAAGAAGGCAGAAUGAUGACUGGUCAUUUUUACUGCUCUGCAGUGAGAGCUGUGUGGAGUGCUGUCGUGAAGACAUUGGACAGUUAGCUGCCCACAGUGUGUCAGAGCCAAGGCUACAUCAUUGCCAUCAGACAGCAUCAGCAGCCUGGUCCAUUGAGAACGCACCUCCCUCCCAAGAUACCAGGAAAAUGAUACUCCAGAAACAAACUCAGCCAUUCAGACAGAACUGAGGAUUGCUGACAUCACAUCAAUAGAUUCACUCUCGGGUACAUAAGGUUUAGAGUCCUUUUCCACAUGCUGAUAAUUUUUAUACUUUUGAGACUAUAACAAAAUUAUGUCCCUUCUU
Myodes glareolus (Bank vole) is the source of this 4477-nucleotide non-coding RNA. The record is from RefSeq and is a predicted model, not a curated record. NCBI's taxonomy places the organism in Eukaryota, Metazoa, Chordata, Mammalia, Rodentia, Cricetidae.